RNAcentral lists this ribosomal RNA (265 nucleotides) under Staphylococcus aureus. RNAcentral's name for it is "partial 23S ribosomal RNA". It matches the Rfam family "Bacterial large subunit ribosomal RNA", at positions 1104 to 1374 of the family's 2925-position model. The record is from RNAcentral. Lineage: Bacteria; Bacillati; Bacillota; Bacilli; Caryophanales; Staphylococcaceae.
GCUUAGAAGCAGCCAUCAUUUAAAGAGUGCGUAAUAGCUCACUAGUCGAGUGACACUGCGCCGAAAAUGUACCGGGGCUAAACAUAUUACCGAAGCUGUGGAUUGUCCUUUGGACAAUGGUAGGAGAGCGUUCUAAGGGCGUUGAAGCAUGAUCGUAAGGACAUGUGGAGCGCUUAGAAGUGAGAAUGCCGGUGUGAGUAGCGAAAGACGGGUGAGAAUCCCGUCCACCGAUUGACUAAGGUUUCCAGAGGAAGGCUCGUCCGCU